GGGAGUGUAGCUCAGUGGUAGAGCGCUUGCCUAGCACUCAUAAAGGGCUUAGGCUCAAUCCCCAGCACCACCA
RNAcentral lists this transfer RNA (73 nucleotides) under Cavia porcellus (domestic guinea pig). It matches the Rfam family "tRNA". From Rfam's summary of the family: Transfer RNA (tRNA) molecules are approximately 80 nucleotides in length. Their secondary structure includes four short double-helical elements and three loops (D, anti-codon, and T loops). Further hydrogen bonds mediate the characteristic L-shaped molecular structure. tRNAs have two regions of fundamental functional importance: the anti-codon, which is responsible for specific mRNA codon recognition, and the 3' end, to which the tRNAs corresponding amino acid is attached (by aminoacyl-tRNA synthetases). tRNAs cope with the degeneracy of the genetic code in two manners: having more than one tRNA (with a specific anti-codon) for a particular amino acid; and 'wobble' base-pairing, i.e. permitting non-standard base-pairing at the 3rd anti-codon position. Lineage: Eukaryota; Metazoa; Chordata; Mammalia; Rodentia; Caviidae. The record is from Rfam by way of RNAcentral.